This 498-nucleotide ribosomal RNA is filed under the name uncultured bacterium. Its description in RNAcentral is "partial 16S ribosomal RNA". It matches the Rfam family "Bacterial small subunit ribosomal RNA", at positions 30 to 523 of the family's 1533-position model. The record is from RNAcentral.
AUUGAACGCUGGCGGCAUGCCUUACACAUGCAAGUCGAACGGUAACAGGUCUUCGGAUGCUGACGAGUGGCGAACGGGUGAGUAAUACAUCGGAACGUGCCUAGUAGUGGGGGAUAACUACUCGAAAGAGUGGCUAAUACCGCAUGAGAUCUACGGAUGAAAGCAGGGGAUCGCAAGACCUUGUGCUACUAGAGCGGCCGAUGGCAGAUUAGGUAGUUGGUGGGAUAAAAGCUUACCAAGCCGACGAUCUGUAGCUGGUCUGGGAGGACGAGCAGCCACACUGCGACUGAGACACGGCCCAGACUCCUACGGGAGGCAGCAGUGGGGAAUUUUGGACAAUGGGCGAAAGCCUGAUCCAGCAAUGCCGCGUGCAGGAUGAAGGCCUUCGGGUUGUAAACUGCUUUUGUACGGAACGAAAAGCCCCGGGUUAAUACCCUGGGGUCAUGACGGUACCGUAAGAAUAAGCACCGGCUAACUACGUGCCAGCCGCCGCGGUAA